Vicugna pacos (alpaca) is the source of this 607-nucleotide non-coding RNA. Lineage: Eukaryota; Metazoa; Chordata; Mammalia; Artiodactyla; Camelidae. The record is from RefSeq and is a predicted model, not a curated record.
CCAAAGUCUUCUCAGCUCUGUCGCCCGAUCAGCUGCGUGGGCGCUGCUCCCUGGGCUGAGAGCCUCAGGCUGUAACGCCCAUCUUCUCCAGUUGGAGUCGGGAAAAGGGAGCGUCAGUGCUGAGCGAGCUUCGGUCUCUUCCCUCAGUGUUUCUGCCCCAGGGCCUGCAACAUCAGCAUCCCUGACUACGUACAGUGUGCUGAGGACUCUGAGACUCUUCCCGUGGUGGUCCAACACGUGGGGAUCAUCUCAGAGGAGAAUUUCUUUUGCAUCUAUAAGCGAAUCUCCUCGUUGAGCCAGAUCAGCCCGUAGGCUCCCAGUGGGCAAUCUGUAUCCACUACAGGCACCACUAUGCACCUGAGAAUGGGUGGAGCGACUUUCAGACCCACCGCAAGGUCGUGGGCCUUGUCACCAUUACCGAGUACCUCUCGGCCAAGGCCUUCGAGAAUCUCCACGUGCAGAGGAGCUGUAUGGCACCACGCUUAAUGACUCUCAGCUCUUUGUCUUUGUGCUGCAUGAGGAGGUAGCCGAGCAGUCGCUCACCAACGUGGCCUUCAAUCUACGAGGACUGCAGGGUGGUGGAGAAGAGGAUCGAGGACUUCACUGA